RNAcentral lists this ribosomal RNA (481 nucleotides) under uncultured bacterium. Its description in RNAcentral is "partial 16S ribosomal RNA". It matches the Rfam family "Bacterial small subunit ribosomal RNA", at positions 28 to 507 of the family's 1533-position model. The record is from RNAcentral.
GAUGAACGCUGGCGGCGUGCUUAACACAUGCAAGUCGAACGAAGCACUUUAUUUGAUUUCCUUCGGGACUGAUUAUUUUGUGACUGAGUGGCGGACGGGUGAGUAACGCGUGGGUAACCUGCCUUGUACAGGGGGAUAACAGUUGGAAACGGCUGCUAAUACCGCAUAAGCGCACAGCAUCGCAUGAUGCAGUGUGAAAAACUCCGGUGCUAUAAGAUGGACCCGCGUUGGAUUAGCUAGUUGGUGAGGUAACGGCCCACCAAGGCGACUAUCCAUAGCCGACCUGAGAGGGUGACCGGCCACAUUGGGACUGAGACACGGCCCAAACUCCUACGGGAGGCAGCAGUGGGGAAUAUUGCACAAUGGGCGAAAGCCUGAUGCAGCGACGCCGCGUGAGCGAAGAAGUAUUUCGGUAUGUAAAGCUCUAUCAGCAGGGAAGAUAAUGACGGUACCUGACUAAGAAGCACCGGCUAAAUACGUG